GGGCGCGCAGAAUCGGUCAAACUGGUUUUACACACCAGCGGUCGGGGGUUCGAUCCCCUCUGCGCCCA
RNAcentral lists this transfer RNA (68 nucleotides) under Nocardia seriolae. RNAcentral describes it as "tRNA-OTHER". It matches the Rfam family "tRNA". Rfam says of the family: Transfer RNA (tRNA) molecules are approximately 80 nucleotides in length. Their secondary structure includes four short double-helical elements and three loops (D, anti-codon, and T loops). The record is from RNAcentral. Lineage: Bacteria; Bacillati; Actinomycetota; Actinomycetes; Mycobacteriales; Nocardiaceae.